Gadus macrocephalus (Pacific cod) is the source of this 234-nucleotide long non-coding RNA. RefSeq lists it as uncharacterized. NCBI's taxonomy places the organism in Eukaryota, Metazoa, Chordata, Actinopteri, Gadiformes, Gadidae. The transcript has 2 exons. The record is from RefSeq and is a predicted model, not a curated record.
GUCAAGCGAUUAAAAUAUUUCAUCGUGAUUAAUCGCAUUAAUGUCAUAGUUAACUCACGAUUAAUCGCAAAUUAUUUUUCUAUGCUAAAUAUCCCUUGAUUUUUUUGUCCCAUAAUUCUUCUCAUUUUAAUUCUCUUAUCAACAUGGUGAAGUGCAUUGGCUUGCCUUGACGAUACAAAAAAAGCCUAUAGUGCAAUUAAACGACUGCUUUGAACAAAUGUCAUUUGAACAUAG